Molecule: long non-coding RNA, 610 nt
Organism: Armigeres subalbatus
Lineage: Eukaryota; Metazoa; Arthropoda; Insecta; Diptera; Culicidae
Exons: 3
Source: RefSeq, a predicted model, not a curated record
CGCCUGAUCGAUAGUUUAUCACUUUGAAGUGCAUAUAAUUGAUUUCGUUUGCGGAGGCUUUAAACUCUUGGUGUGCAGUGCAGUGGGUGAUUUUAGAGGCUUAGGGCAAGCCCUAUAUAGCCGACAAAAUGUGCCUGCUCCAAGCAGUGAAAAGUAUGGAGUAGGGCGGUGAUUUGCAGUGAGAUCGGCCUUUCGUUCACUGCAUACAAUUAUGUGGUGUGUCCUGUGAGCUGCAUUCCAGAGCGAUGGUGGACUGGAGUGGCUGGCACGGAUAGCUGGCAUGAGCCGGCAAGCACUCGCGUUCUGUCCGGGCAGACAUCAAGGUUUGCGGUCGCCGAGGGAUACACGGUUACACUGACACACACACAAAUUAAACUUUAGGUUAAGGAUUUAGCGUAAGUAUACUAAUAUACAUCUUGAAAAUGCAUGUGAAAUUUAUGUUUUUAUUUUGUGCAAUGAUUCCGAGUAGUGCUUUUUUUUUUAUGGGUCCACUAUAUUGUUUGAACCAAUUGUUGGCGGUUCUGGGUACGUGGGCAAUGGGGACCAGUGCCAUCUUCGCCUCUUUUCACUUUUGUCUCCGUCUCAUGCGCCCCCCCCUCAAGGGGGAGGU